CGGGUGAGUAAUGUCUGGGGAUCUGCCUGAUGGCGGGGGAUAACUACUGGAAACGGUAGCUAAUACCGCAUAAUGUCUACGGACCAAAGAGGGGGACCUUCGGGCCUCUUGCCAUCGGAUGUGCCCAGAUGGGAUUAGCUAGUAGGUGGGGUAACGGCUCACCUAGGCGACGAUCCCUAGCUGGUCUGAGAGGAUGACCAGCCACACUGGAACUGAGACACGGUCCAG
Molecule: ribosomal RNA, 228 nt
Filed under: uncultured bacterium
Lineage: Bacteria
Description: partial 16S ribosomal RNA
Rfam family: Bacterial small subunit ribosomal RNA
Source: RNAcentral